UUCUCAACCAAAUCACGAAGAAAACAGAACUCAAACAAAAGCGAGGGGAGAAGAGGCCACUUGCAGAUGCAGCAGGGUUCAAAAGGCUCCACUGUGGGUACCUCACGCCGCUGUUCCAAGAACCAGUAAUUCUUCCUGAGUGACUCCCCUUGGCUGAUUUCAACAUGGAUUUCAAUAUGGAAGCGGAGCUUAAUGAAAUCAGUGUGAUGCCAUCUGUGGAGUUAGCACCCCCAGGACACAGAGCACGGAAGGAAGGGCAGACAACAGAUCUGAGCUUGAAGAACACAGAAUAACCAGCAAGUAAGAAAGUGUGGCCACCCCAGGACGUGGCAAACUGUAUGGGCCCUGUGACUGCCUGGUUCCUCUGCCGCAUGCCCCUUCAUCUUCUUGCCUGAUCCACAACUCCUUGCUAACACCCACAGGUGCCAGUGCGCCUCCAGGAAGGAGCUCCUUGGCUUUCAUCGCCUGUGAAUCUCUCCGCUCUCAUUUCACCAUUGCUAGGUCCUUCAGUGAAGCCAGAGCAGUUUUCCAGCCAACCCAUGAGUGUCUCUUUAUGGCUCAGCCAUGAGGCCCGACCUUUGGGUAGGAGGGGCUGGUCCUGACAGUGGGACGCAGGAGCCUGGAGAUGCUGGCUACCAGUCGCUGUGACUAGUCAGGCUGUGAGUCUCCAUCAGAUCCACUCAGAAUGGUUUUCUGAAGCAGUCACCCUUCUGUGAAGAAUUACAGCGUGAAGUCUGAAACCAACUGAUGGGAUUGGGUCUCUGCCACUUCCCAGAGGGGCUUCUUGCCAAAGACUUCGUGUUUUAACCUGACAAUGGGUUAAAUAAUGACUAAGAAUAUCCACCAUGCUUAAUCUAAUGAGGUUAUUAUGAAAACUGAAUGACAAAGGUG
This is a long non-coding RNA of Rhinopithecus roxellana (golden snub-nosed monkey), 891 nucleotides long. RefSeq lists it as uncharacterized. NCBI's taxonomy places the organism in Eukaryota, Metazoa, Chordata, Mammalia, Primates, Cercopithecidae. The transcript is spliced from 3 exons. The record is from RefSeq and is a predicted model, not a curated record.